RNAcentral lists this ribosomal RNA (1401 nucleotides) under uncultured bacterium. RNAcentral describes it as "bacterial SSU rRNA". It matches the Rfam family "Bacterial small subunit ribosomal RNA". The record is from RNAcentral.
GAGUUUGAUCAUGGCUCAGGAUUAACGCUGGCGGCGUGCCUAACACAUGCAAGUCGAGCGGCAGCGAGUUUUACACUGAAUUCUGGAAGCUUCUAGUUGAAAGAGAAGAUUUAUUCAAGAAUUUUGUGUAAAAUGUCGGCGAGCGGCGGACGGCUGAGUAACGCGUGGGAACGUACCCCAAAGUGAGGGAUAACGCAUCGAAAGGUGUGCUAAUACCGCAUAUGGUCUUCGGAUUAAAGCCUUCGGGCGCUUUGGGAACGGCCUGCGUAAGAUUAGAUAGUUGGUGGGGUAAUGGCCUACCAAGUCGACGAUCUUUAACUGGUUUGAGAGGAUGAUCAGUCAGACUGGAACUGAGACACGGUCCAGACUCCUACGGGAGGCAGCAGUGAGGAAUCUUCCACAAUGGGCGAAAGCCUGAUGGAGCAACGCCGCGUGCAGGAUGAAGGCCUUCGGGUUGUAAACUGCUUUUAUAAGUGAUGAUUAUGACAGUAACUUAUGAAUAAGGAUCGGCUAACUACGUGCCAGCAGCCGCGGUCAUACGUAGGAUCCGAGCGUUAUCCGGAGUGACUGGGCGUAAAGAGCUGCGUAGGUGGUUUAAUAAGCGAAUAGUGAAAUCUGGUGGCUCAACCAUUCAGACUAUUAUUCGAACUGUUGAACUCGAGAGCAGAAGAGGUAGCUGGAAUUUCUAGCGUAGGAGUGAAAUCCGUAGAUAUUAGAAGGAACACCGAUGGCGUAGGCAGGCUACUGGGCUGUUUCUGACACUGAGACACGAAAGCGUGGGGAGCGAACCGGAUUAGAUACCCGGGUAGUCCACGCCGUAAACGAUGGAUACUAGCUGUUUGGGGUAUCGACCCCCUGAGUAGCGAAGCUAACGCGUUAAGUAUCCCGCCUGUGGAGUACGAUCGCAAGAUUAAAACAUAAAGGAAUUGACGGGGACCCGCACAAGCGGUGGAUCAUGUUCUUUAAUUCGAUGAUAACCGAUAAACCUUACCAGGUCUUGACAUCCUUGGAAUCUUUCAGAAAUGAGAGAGUGCUUUUUAAGAGCCAAGUGACAGGUGAUGCAUGGCCGUCGUCAGCUCGUGUCGUGAGAUGUUUGGUUAAGUCCAUCAACGAGCGCAACCCUUGUCAGUAGUUGUAUUUUUCUACUGAGACUGCCCCGGUAACGGGGAGGAAGGAGGGGAUGACGUCAGGUCAGUAUUUCCCUUACGUCCUGGGCUAGAAACGUGAUACAAUGGCUAGUACAAUGCGCAGCGAAGCCGCGAGGUGAAGCAAAUCGCAUCAAAGCUAGUCCCAGUUCGGAUUGUAGGCUGAAACUCGCCUGCAUGAAGUCGGAAUCGCUAGUAAUCGCAGAUCAGCAUGCUGCGGUGAAUACGUUCCCGGGUCUUGUACACACCGCCCGUC